AAAAAGGAUAAAAACCCAAAGAAAGAUCCAUUUUUUAAUGUUAAUAUGAGAUUUAGCUGGAAAUAUAUUUUGUUCAAAUUCUAGGCAACGAUUAUGCUCCGUCGUUACCUCUCUCCCCUCUCGCUUUCUCUCGGGACCGCCGCCGCCGGUGGCGAAUUUUCACCGUAGCACACAGUGUCCGUGUGGAUCUGGCUUUUCUCAUUUAGGUUGCACUACUUAUUAUGCUGCGUGAAGUAGAAGGUAGCUUGCUCGUCGUUAAAAAGCUAAACGAAAACAGAGAGGUACGAACGAGCGAGAUCGCGACCUCCCUUUUGAAGCAGCUAUCACAUUUCACUAACCUGCAAAAACGGCUACUUAAUCGAAGUGACCAAACUGAUUAGCAUAGGGAAUGGGGAGUGCAAGUUCAGCCCCGCAGUACAUCAUUUUUCCUGGUGAACUUCCUCUGCAAUUUCUUCACGCCCGUCGAGGGGGAAGUGAUGGACGGGGUAGUGUAUAGAGUAAUCGGGGGCGGUGUGUUUAUCAAGUCCGGACCGAUGAGUUAUGUCUAUUUAUCGGACCGGAAGAUGCCGAAUUACAAUUACGUUUUGGGGGAGAAUCGAAACCCGAGGUAUGUGGGGGUAGAUUUGUCCAGGAUUGAGAUUGGUGUUUUGGUUCGAUUUAGGGUUUUGGCUGCUAAGUGGGUGGAGGAUAAGUAUAGGGAGUUUCGAGUUCUUGCGAGUAUUGAUGGCGAUGGGCUGGGCCCGGUUUCGAUGAACGGGUUUGACGGUGUCGAUUAUGAAAUGCCUUGCAGCAAUAUUAUAUAAUAUAGUUUGGUGAAAUAUUUAUAUAUGUUGCUUUUGUAAAUAAAGUUUUAGAUGAAUGUGUGCUCAUAGUUGCAAGAUUGUGUACUUAAUUUGUUUCAAAUUAGUUUUCGUAUAAGAUUUUGGCACCCGGCUUGUUUCGUUAUAUAUAUAUCGGAUAAGUUUAUAUUAGAUGAGAUUGGAUUAA
Erythranthe guttata (spotted monkey flower) is the source of this 987-nucleotide non-coding RNA. Lineage: Eukaryota; Viridiplantae; Streptophyta; Magnoliopsida; Lamiales; Phrymaceae. The record is from RefSeq and is a predicted model, not a curated record.